RNAcentral lists this ribosomal RNA (253 nucleotides) under uncultured bacterium. Its description in RNAcentral is "partial 16S ribosomal RNA". It matches the Rfam family "Bacterial small subunit ribosomal RNA", at positions 524 to 776 of the family's 1533-position model. The record is from RNAcentral.
UACGGAGGGUGCAAGCGUUGUUCGGAAUUACUGGGCGUAAAGGGCGUGUAGGCGGUUGUGUAAGUCAGACGUGAAAUCCUUUGGCUCAACUGAAGAACUGCGUCUGAAACUGCAUGACUAGAGUGCAGAAGAGGGAAACGGAAUUCCUGGUGUAGAGGUGAAAUUCGUAGGUAUCAGGAGGAACACCGGUGGCGAAGGCGGUUUCCUGGUCUGACACUGACGCUGAGGCGCGAAAGCGUGGGGAGCAAACAGG